CGACGAACGACCACAAAGAGGAUGUUGGAGGAGCAACUGCGACGAAGCUAGCGUUCCUUGAUUUUGGUUUCUUUCUGGACGACGAACGAUAACUACGACGACGAAAACGCCAACGACAACUCAAUUCGCGAUGAAUCCUUUUAGAAACGGAGGAAGAACGAACAAAACUAUCAAAAAGCAACACAGAUUUAGAAGGAUAUUGGGUCAGGCAAGAACGCCAUUAUUUACAUAAGAAUUUCCGGUAUUUUUAUUUUUGUUUUAAACUUGACUUGGAUUUAAGUUAUCGAAAUCGGAAGAGACGUCGUUGAUUCUUGAUUCUCUCUGCACAUCACUAGUAGUCGGUCAUUGAAAGUUAAUUAAAUUCUUUCUGCUUUUUAUUAUUUUAUUUUUACAAAAACAAAAGAAACCAGAUUUUCAGAUCGUCCACUCGUUGUUGUUGUUGUUGU
Long non-coding RNA from Eupeodes corollae, 446 nucleotides. RefSeq lists it as uncharacterized. The record is from RefSeq and is a predicted model, not a curated record. Lineage: Eukaryota; Metazoa; Arthropoda; Insecta; Diptera; Syrphidae. The transcript has 2 exons.